Long non-coding RNA from Leptinotarsa decemlineata (Colorado potato beetle), 202 nucleotides. Lineage: Eukaryota; Metazoa; Arthropoda; Insecta; Coleoptera; Chrysomelidae. The record is from RefSeq and is a predicted model, not a curated record.
AUCAGCUAGUGGCAACACUGCUGCUGAAAGUCUGAAAUCCAUCAUGGCUUCAUUUUAUGAUUAAACCAACUUUUUAUUUUAUAUUUUUCCACUUUUCUUGAUUCAACGUCGCUAUAGUCAAUACUGAAAUGGUACCAUAAUGGAUAUUAAAACUGUGAGGUCACAGUAAAUCAUGGAAUAAAUAUCCUAUUCUUCCAUGAAU